RNAcentral lists this ribosomal RNA (254 nucleotides) under uncultured bacterium. Its description in RNAcentral is "partial 16S ribosomal RNA". It matches the Rfam family "Bacterial small subunit ribosomal RNA", at positions 524 to 776 of the family's 1533-position model. The record is from RNAcentral.
UACGGGGGGGGCAAGCGUUGUUCGGAAUUACUGGGCGUAAAGGGCUCGUAGGCGGCCAACUAAGUCAGACGUGAAAUCCCUCGGCUUAACCGGGGAACUGCGUCUGAUACUGGUUGGCUUGAAUCCGGGAGAGGGAUGUGGAAUUCCAGGUGUAGCGGUGAAAUGCGUAGAUAUCUGGAGGAACACCGGUGGCGAAGGCGGCAUCCUGGACCAACACUGACGCUGAGUGAGCGAAAGCCAGGGGAGCAAACGGG